Molecule: long non-coding RNA, 1871 nt
Filed under: Volvox carteri
Lineage: Eukaryota; Viridiplantae; Chlorophyta; Chlorophyceae; Chlamydomonadales; Volvocaceae
Description: long non-coding RNA (VCAR_LNC000419)
Source: RNAcentral
AGCCGACCAUGAGCCGCUCACGGACUCGUGUGACCUGCAUACAACGUAGGAAAAAGCACCCUUCCUGUAUGCUCUUUCUUUGCUUCUUUCACAAUCUCCAACACCAUCUCACCUUUUUGACAUAGUCCUCGAGUAAUAUAAUGCUUUUCAACACUGACCUAGUAGACUGAACAGUACACUUUACAAGUAAUCCACAUUUCAGCGUAAAUUUUUCAUACGUAUUCCAACUAUACCAACUAUUUAUACCCUAUCACUUCACCACGCGUACAUACCUACAACCUUGUUACGAUCGCGCGUUUACCGACCGCGAUCCAACCUCAUCCGCCUUGGCCAAACCUUACCCACCUUGGCCAAACGCAUGUACAUGUACCAACCACCACCACGACCGCGACCCUCACCUUUCAAAACCAAAUUAACAUUGUACACGUACGUACAAACAUAGACAGACCACAGCGCCACGACCACCACCGCAUGCAUAUAUGCGAAGCACGAACAACCUCGGACAACCUCGGACUGCACAAGGAGGGUAGGAUUCGGGCUGGAAUUAGGGAAGAGCUCUGUCGCAGAAUUAGCCUGGAUUUUAUUCCUGACAAACUGUUGCUACUGCCGGGACAGGCCCUUGAAUUGGCCUGACAGGGAUAUGAAUUGGCCUGGCAGGGACAUUCCGACAGUCAGAAUUAGCCUGACAGGGAUACGAAUUAGCCUGGCGGGAGAUUCCGACAGUCAGAAUUAGGCUGACAGGGUGUCGAAUUGGCCUGGCAGGGACAUUCGGACAGUCAGAAUUAGCGUGUUCAGGGUGUCGAAUUAGGGAAGCACGGGAAUUGUGCGACCGGGGCAGUCAAAAGAAUUGCUCUGCCCGACAGUGUGUCCUACCCUCUACUGCACACAAGGACGUCGAAAAUUACAUUUACACACAAUAAUUCACCGACUAUACACAACGAUUCGCUACAUUCCUUCCUUUAUAACGCUUUCAUGAUUUCAUGACAGAAUUUCUGUACUUAUAACUUAACAAAUACGCAAUCGAAGGACAGGGAAGGACAGGGAAGGACAGGGAAGGACAGGGAGGGACAGGGAAGGACAGGGAGGGACACACCCGAACGCCCCGAACGCACCCGAACUCCCGAACAACAGCUACGGCACCCUCAGGACCGACGGGACCGUGCCUCGUUCGGGUCGGAAGGAAUGCCGUACGAACUUAAGACAGCACCGAAAAGAUCGGGAGGUUGCCAGUUUGAUCACGAGCGAAUGUAUGCAUCUGUGCUUUUUUAUGCAAUGAGUGCAAUUGAAGGAGGGAUAGGGAAGGACAGGGAGGGAUAGGGAACGCACCCGAACGCACCCGAACGCACCCGAACGCACCCGAACGCACCCGAACGGACGCCCCCGGAUGCAUUCAACGUGCAUGCACGCGCACGCACCCGCGCGCCCGGGCACGCAACCUAAAACAGCGGGCAACAGUGGAAGAGCACCCGUUUAGUAAGCGGGAGGUCUCGAGAUCAAAACUCGACAUGAGCAGCAUAUCGCUCUUGCGCGGGAAAUAUCUGGUCUGGCUUUUUCAUAACAUGAUCCAUCCUGGUGUGUACGUGUGCGUGUAUGCUGGUGGGUAGAUGGGUGUAUGUAUGUGUAGACCUUACCCUAUUAAUAAUUCAUGAUGCCCUCCACCACGAAUCCUAGGUUUGAAAUGAACGCUCGGUGGCACAUUGUAUAAUCACAAUCCAGAGCAAGAAGGACGAGGCAUGCUUGUAUAAUGAGGUUGUGCACCAUGGAGAUACGGGUUAUUAGUGGGCGUGUUCGCUUUGAUAAUGGGAUGGGCUACUACAAUGGCAUGGUGGGUGUCGCGUGCGCAAUUGGGUUGGCCCGCGGGUCGAGCUUUU